Molecule: ribosomal RNA, 216 nt
Filed under: Escherichia coli
Lineage: Bacteria; Pseudomonadati; Pseudomonadota; Gammaproteobacteria; Enterobacterales; Enterobacteriaceae
Description: partial 16S ribosomal RNA
Rfam family: Bacterial small subunit ribosomal RNA
Source: RNAcentral
AAAUUGAAGAGUUUGAUCAUGGCUCAGAUUGAACGCUGGCGGCAGGCCUAACACAUGCAAGUCGAACGGUAACAGGAAACAGCUUGCUGUUUCGCUGACGAGUGGCGGACGGGUGAGUAAUGUCUGGGAAACUGCCUGAUGGAGGGGGAUAACUACUGGAAACGGUAGCUAAUACCGCAUAAUGUCGCAAGACCAAAGAGGGGGACCUUCGGGCCU